RNAcentral lists this ribosomal RNA (497 nucleotides) under uncultured bacterium. RNAcentral's name for it is "partial 16S ribosomal RNA". It matches the Rfam family "Bacterial small subunit ribosomal RNA", at positions 28 to 507 of the family's 1533-position model. The record is from RNAcentral.
GAUGAACGCUGGCGGCGUGCCUAAUACAUGCAAGUCGAACGAAAAGACCAGGAGUUUGCGCCUCUGACGUUAGCCGCGGAGGGGAGAGUCACAUGUGUAUAACCUACCUAUAAGACUGGGAUAACCUCGGGAAACCGGAGCUUAUACCGGAUAAUCUAUUGCACCACGUUGUUUAAUAGUGAAAUUCGGUUGUUGUGUCACUACUAGCUGGAUCCGCGCCUGAUUAGCUGGUUGGUAGGGUAACAGCUUACCAAGGCAAGGAUGCGUAGCCGACCUGAGAGGGGGAUAGCCCACCCUGGAGGUGAGACACGGUCCAGACUCCUGCGGGAGGCCGCAGUAGGGAAUCUUACGCAAUGGGGGAAAGCCUGACGGAGCAACGCGGCGUGAGUGAUGAAGGUCUUCGGAUCGUAAAGCUCUGUUAUGAGUGGAGAACCAAUGUGUAAGUAACUAUGCACGUAUUGACGGUACCGAAUCAGAAAGCCCCGGCUAACUACGUG